GGAGCUGGUAGCUCAGUGGUAGAGUGCAUGCUCUGUAUGUAUGAUGUCCUGGGUUCAAACAUCAGCUGCACCC
Non-coding RNA from Dallia pectoralis (Alaska blackfish), 73 nucleotides. The record is from the annotation of a GenBank genome assembly. Lineage: Eukaryota; Metazoa; Chordata; Actinopteri; Esociformes; Umbridae.